GACGAACGCUGGCGGCGUGCUUAACACAUGCAAGUCGAACGGAAAGGCCCUGCUUUUGUGGGGUGCUCGAGUGGCGAACGGGUGAGUAACACGUGAGUAACCUGCCCUUGACUUUGGGAUAACUUCAGGAAACUGGGGCUAAUACCGGAUAGGAUCUCCUGCUGCAUGGUGGGGGUUGGAAAGUUUCGGCGGUUGGGGAUGGACUCGCGGCUUAUCAGCUUGUUGGUGGGGUAGUGGCUUACCAAGGCUUUGACGGGUAGCCGGCCUGAGAGGGUGACCGGCCACAUUGGGACUGAGAUACGGCCCAGACUGCUACGGGAGGCAGCAGUGGGGAAUAUUGCACAAUGGGCGGAAGCCUGAUGCAGAAACGCCGCGUGCGGGAUGACGGCCUUCGGGUUGUAAACCGCUUUCGCCUGUGACGAAGCGCGAGUGACGGUAAUGGGUAAAGAAGCACCGGCUAACUACGUG
Molecule: ribosomal RNA, 468 nt
Filed under: uncultured bacterium
Lineage: Bacteria
Description: partial 16S ribosomal RNA
Rfam family: Bacterial small subunit ribosomal RNA
Source: RNAcentral